ACCUUAGAUGUUCGGGGCCGCACGCGCGCUACACUGAAGGACUCAGCGUGUCUCUCCCCCUAUCCCGAAAGGGAUGGGCAACCCGUUGAACCUCCUUCGUGCUGGGGAUUGGGGUUUGCAAUUAUCCCCCAUGAACGAGGAAUUCCCAGUAAGCGCGAGUCAUCAGCUCGCGUUGAUUACGUCCCUGCCCUUUGUACACACCGCCCGUCGCUACUACCGAUUGGAUGGUUUAGUGAGACCCUCGGAUCGGUCCCGACUCGGGGUGGGCUUCUGCCCCGGUCGUGGUUUCGCCGAGAAGACGGUCAAACUUGACUAUCUAGAGGAAGUAAAAGUCGUAACA
Molecule: ribosomal RNA, 340 nt
Filed under: uncultured eukaryote
Lineage: Eukaryota
Description: partial 18S ribosomal RNA
Rfam family: Eukaryotic small subunit ribosomal RNA
Source: RNAcentral